This 392-nucleotide ribosomal RNA is filed under the name uncultured bacterium. Its description in RNAcentral is "partial 16S ribosomal RNA". It matches the Rfam family "Bacterial small subunit ribosomal RNA", at positions 523 to 918 of the family's 1533-position model. The record is from RNAcentral.
AUACGGAGGAUCCGAGCGUUAUCCGGAUUUAUUGGGUUUAAAGGGUGCGCAGGCGGCCAUUUAAGUCAGCGGUUAAAUCGUGGGGCUCAACCCCAUUCUGCCGUUGAUACUGGGUGGCUUGAUUGCGGUCGAGGUUGGCGGAAUUCGUUGUGUAGCGGUGAAAUGCAUAGAUAUGACGAAGAACACCGAUUGCGUAGGCAGCUGACCAGACCGCAAAUGACGCUCAUGCACGAAAGUGCGGGGAUCGAACAGGAUUAGAUACCCUGGUAGUCCGCACAGUAAACGAUGAAUACUUGUUUUCGGCGAUAUAAUGUCGGAGGCAAAGCGAAAGCGAUAAGUAUUCCACCUGGGGAGUAAGCCGGCAACGGUGAAACUCAAAUGAAUUGGCGGGG